Small nucleolar RNA from Perognathus longimembris pacificus (Pacific pocket mouse), 200 nucleotides. RefSeq annotates it as small nucleolar RNA SNORA73 family. Lineage: Eukaryota; Metazoa; Chordata; Mammalia; Rodentia; Heteromyidae. The transcript has a single exon. The record is from RefSeq and is a predicted model, not a curated record.
UUCAUAUUGAAACUGAAUUGUUACUCCCCAGGCUCUGUCCCCAUGGCCUAGGAGAACAUAAAGUUCUGCCCCAUGAUAUACAGUACCUUUCCACAAUGUUGGAUAUGAAGCCAGGCUUUGUGUCAGAGCCUGCAUAUUCCUACAACUUCCCAGAGUCCUGUGAACAAUGACUGGGAAGAUAAACCAUGCAAGAAACAGUA